RNAcentral lists this long non-coding RNA (969 nucleotides) under Homo sapiens (human). RNAcentral's name for it is "long independently transcribed non-coding RNA 2515, transcript variant 2 (LINC02515)". Lineage: Eukaryota; Metazoa; Chordata; Mammalia; Primates; Hominidae. The record is from RNAcentral.
ACUGCAGACUGAAGCGGUUCCUAUUUGGCCACCUUGCCAGCCCAUCUCGAACAUCAUCUAAAAGGACUGGACCUACAUCUGCAGUUAACUGCACAAUGGAAGAAACGGCCUCUCCUGGGCAGCCUCAUGGAUGGGGUGAAGAGACAAAGCUUGGGAGUGUAGCAUGUUGAGCACAUCUGCUCAGAGGUAACAUUUAAGCAUUUAGGUUGUCUCCAAGCAUAAAAAUGGAAAUACUGAUCCUGUGACAACACAGCCUGAAUUUUCUGCUUUGCAGAUGCCAGAUUUAUUUUUAAAUGGUGUGAAUCAAAUCUGUGCUGAGAGGCCAACUUCAAAAUAUAAAAGAAAAAUUGGCAAUGGGAGGAUUGUGCUGGUUUGGCUGAAAUGAAGUGCUCUACGGCAUUUCAUUCUAGUGGAGCGUCUGACUGUGAAAAUCCUUCCAAUUGUAAUUUUCUUUGGCUUGUCAAAAGAGGAUUAUGAACUAAAGUCAGUGUUGCAGGAAAUGUCACCUGUCCUUUGAAAGAAAAUAAUAAAUCAAAAUGGCUUUUGUUCAUCAUGUUUAAAAUGAAAAAAAAAAAAAAGUUGAUCCACUUGGAGUCUUCUCUCAUUUCUUGACAAGGCAGUUAAAUAAAUAAAACGGAAUUUUUUGUAAUUGUUACUUCUUGCUCAUCUCAAAAGGGGAAAAGGGAAAUCUUCAUUCAAUACAUAUUCAUACAGAGAAAAUAGAAGAGCAGAGACAGAGACAGAAAGAGAAAUGAGAUGAAGAGUGAAACAAGACCCUGGUAGAGUUCCUCAAGUCAGAUGUUAAGAAAGGUAUCUUUAAAUUAUAAUUUGUUUCUUUGAUAGAUACUAUAUUACAAAUUCAAAAAUGUGAGGUAAAUAAAAACAAAAGGAGUAGAUAACUAUUCCUGAAAAAUUCUAAGUGCUUGUAUAUUUUGCUUUAAGCAAAUAAAGACAAAAUUACCAAACAUA